This 275-nucleotide ribosomal RNA is filed under the name uncultured Glomus. RNAcentral describes it as "partial 18S ribosomal RNA". It matches the Rfam family "Eukaryotic small subunit ribosomal RNA", at positions 624 to 909 of the family's 1831-position model. Lineage: Eukaryota; Fungi; Glomeromycota; Glomeromycetes; Glomerales; Glomeraceae. The record is from RNAcentral.
AAGCUCGUAGUUGAAUUUCGGGGUUAGUAGGUUGGUCAUGCCUCUGGUAUGUACUGGUCUCACUGAUUCCUCCUUCCUUAUGAACCGUAAUGCCAUUAAUUUGGUGUUGCGGGGAAUUUGGACUGUUACUUUGAAGAAAUUAGAGUGUUUAAAGCAAGCUAACGCUUGAAUACAUUAGCAUGGAAUAAUGAAAUAGGACGUUCGAUCUUAUUUUGUUGGUUUCUAGGAUUGACGUAAUGAUUAAUAGGGAUAGUUGGGCGAGCGGGCUGGCAAGG